RNAcentral lists this non-coding RNA (26 nucleotides) under Drosophila erecta. Lineage: Eukaryota; Metazoa; Arthropoda; Insecta; Diptera; Drosophilidae. RNAcentral also lists the same sequence under 1 other name. The record is from RNAcentral.
CGCAAACCCAAAAUAACAAUGCAGGA